AUAAACGCAUGCAGGAGUGGUCGCAAGAGUGGUUAAUCUAUACACAACCCAUGUAUUGAAAAGAUAGAUAUAGAGCAUAGUUGGCUUACACUUGCCACGAAUCACACAACAUGAUCAAGUUUAAUACAAUCAUUCAAGAUGAACACAAGGUCUGGCUAUGGACGAAAACCAAACGAAUAAAAGACAACCAUCCAUGCUAAGUCCCGAUCGUCCCUACUGGGCACCACUACUAAUCGCCCGGAUAAGUGACGUACAUCCGGCCACGUUCUUCAUCGAACUCCCACUGAAGCUCCUGUUCAUCAUUAGCAUCAAACUCAGAGGUAGCUGCAGCUGUUGUUGUAGUAAACUAUGAGCCACGAGGACUAAGCAAUCGCAUUCCAGGGUAUCAAGACUAACAAAGCUUUUAGGUGAUGAAGGGUAUUUGGUGGGGUUGCUGCGAAGCACCAAGCAUAUAUGAGGUGGCUAGCUUAUGUUUUCAGAGUAAGGUGAGAAGCUACGCAUACGGUCGUAACUAAUAAAGACCACUAAGUGAUCAUAUCUACUUUCAUAUCAAAUAUAACCCCGCCAUGUUCUCUUCCCGAACUCCUUCGAAUAGAGACCAUCACGGCUACGCACAUAGGUAGUGUAUUUUAUUUGAGGUUUGGUGUCAAGUUUUCUACAACCGGAUAUUAAAAACUCUCAUCUGCCACAUAACCGUGGGCACAGCUUUCCAAAGUUUAAACCCUGCAGGGAUGUCCCAACUUAGCCCAUGAUAAGCUCUCACGAUCAACAGAGGAAAAACCUCCUUCUGAGACAACCCGAUCAAGCUCGGAAUCCCGGUUUACAAGACUUUUCGACAAUGGUAAAACUGUUGGAAAUAUGCCCUAGAGGCAAUAAUAAAAGUAUUAUUAUAUUUCAUUGUUCAUGAUAAUUGUCUUUUAUUCAUGCUAUAACUGUAUUAUCCGGAAAUCGUAAUACACGUGUGAAUACUUAGACCACACAUGUCCCUGGUAAGCCUCUAGUUGACCAGCUCGUUGUGAUCAACAGAUAGUCAUGGUUUCCUGACUAUGGACAUUGGAUGUCGUUGAUAACGGGAUCACAUCAUUAGGAGAAUGAUGUGAUGGACAAGACCCAAUCCUAAGCAUAGCAUAAAAGAUCGUGUAGUUCGUUUUGCUAGAGCUUUGCAAGUGUCAAGUAUCUCUUCCUUCGACCAUGAGAUCGUGUAACUCCCGGAUACCGUAAGAGUGCCUUGGGUGUACCAAACGUCACAACGUAACUGGGUGACUAUAAAGGUGCAUUACAGGUAUCUCCAAAAGUAGCUGUUGGGUUGACACGGAUCGAGACUGGGAUUUGUCACUCCGUAUGACGGAGAGGUAUCUCUGGGCCCACUCGGUAAUGCAUCAUCAUAUUGAGCUCAAUGUGACCAAGGUGUUGGACACGGGAUCAUGCAUUACGGUACGAGUAAAGUGACUUGCCGGUAACGAGACUGAACAAGGUAUUGGGAUACCGACGAUCGAGUCUCGGGCAAGUAACGUACCGAUUGACAAAGGGAAUUGCAUACAGGGUUUGAUUGAAUCCUUGACAUAGUGGUUCAUCCGAUGACAACAUCGAGGAGCAUGUGGGAGCCAUCAUGGGUAUCCAGAUCCCGCUGAUGGUUAUUGACUGAGAGCGUCUCGGUCAUGUCUACAUGUCUCCCGAACCCGUAGGGUCUACACACUUAAGGUUCGGUGACGCUAGGGUUAUGAAGAUAUGUAUAUGCAGAAACCCGAAUGUUGUUCGGAGUCCCGGAUGAGAUCCCGGACGUCACGAGGAGUUCCGGAAUGGUCCGGAGGUAAAGAAUUAUAUAUAGGAAGUGCUAUUUCGGGCAUCGGGACAAGUUUCGGGGUUAUCGGUAUUGUACCGGGACCACCGGAAGGGUCCCGGGGGUCCACCGGGUGGGGCCACCUGUCCCGGGGGGGCACAUGGGCUGUAGGGGGUGCGCCUUGGCCAUCAUGGGCCAAGGGCACCAGCCCCUAUAGGCCCAUGCGCCUAGGGUUUCCCCCUAGGAGGAGUCCUAGUGGUGGAAGGCACCCCUAGGUGCCUUGGGGGGGAGGGAAACCUCCCCUAGGCCGCCGCCCCCCCUAGUAGAUCUCAUCUACUAGGGCCGGCGCCCCCCCUUGGCACCCCUAUAUAUAGUGGGGGGAGAGGAGGAGAACAGACCAGCCCCUGGCGCCUCCACCUUUCCCCGUUACGUCUCUCCCUCGUAGUCUCGGCGAAGCCCUGCUGCUGUGACGCCCUGCAUCCACCACCACGCCGUCGUGCUGCUGGAUCUUCAUCAACCUCUCCUUCCCCCUUGCUGGAUCAAGAAGGAGGAGACGUCUCCCGUCCCGUACGUGUGUUGAACGCGGAGGUGCCGUCCGUUCGGCGCUGGUCAUCGGUGAUUUGGAUCACGUCGAGUACGACUACAUCAUCACCUUGCAAGCUUCCGCACGCGAUCUACAAGUGGUAUGUAGAUGCAAACUCUCUCCCUAGACUCAUUGCUUAGAUGAACUCAUAGAUGGAUCUUGGUGAAACCGUAGGAAAAAUUUUAAUUUUCUGCAACGUUCCCCAACAGUGGCAUCAUGAGCUAGGUCUAUGCGUAGUUCUCUUUGCACGAGUAGAACACAACUUUGUUGUGGGCGUGGAUUUUGUCAUCUUACUUGCCUCUACUAGUAUUUUCUUGCUCAACGGUAUUGUGGGAUGAAGCGGCCCGGACCAACCUUACACGUACGCUUACGUGAGACCGGUUCCACCGACUGACAUGCACAAGUUGCAUAAGGUGGCUGGCGGGUGUCUGUCUCUCCCACCUUAGUUGGAGCGGAAUCGAUGAACAGGGCCCUUAUGAAGGGUAAAUAGAAGUUGACAAAAUCACGUUGUGGUGAUUCGUAGGUAAGAAAACGUUCUUGCUAGAACCCAAUUGCAGCCACGUAAAAGAUGCAACAACAAUUAGAGGACGUCUAACUUGUUUUUGCAGCGAUUGAUCAUGUGAUGUGAUAUGGCCAGAAGUUGUGAUGAAUGAUGAAUUGUGAUGUAUGAGAUCAUGUUCUUUGUAAUAGGAUUCACGACUUGCAUGUCGAUGAGUAUGACAACCGGCAGGAGCCAUAGGAGUUGUCAUUAUUUUUUGUAUGACCUGCGUGUCAUUGAAUAACGUCAUGUAAACUACUUUACUUUAUUGCUAAACGUUAGUCAUAGAAGUAGAAGUAGUCGUUGGCGUGACAACUUCAUGAAGAUACGAUGAUGGAGAUCAUGAUGAUGGAGAUCAUGGUGUCAAGCCGAUGACAAGAUGAUCAUGGAGCCCCGAAGAUGAAGAUCAAUGGAGCUAUAUGAUAUUGGCCAUAUCAUGUCACAACUAUAUAAUUGCAUGUGAUGUUUAUUAUGUAUUAUGCAUCUUGUUUACUUAGGACGACGGUAGUAAAUAAGAUGAUCCCUUAUAAAAUUUCAAGAAGUGUUCUCCCCUAACUGUGCACCGUUGCUACAGUUCGUCGUUUCUAAGCACCACGUGAUGAUCGGGUGUGAUGGAUUCUUACGUUCACAUACAACGGGUGUAAGACAGUUUUACACAGCGAAAACACUUAGGGUUAACUUGACGAGCCUAGCAUGUGCAGACAUGGCCUCGGAACACGGAGACCGAAAGGUCGAACACGAGUCGUAUGGAAGAUACGAUCAACAUGAAAAUGUUCACCGACGAUGACUAGUCCGUCUCACGUGAUGAUCGGACACGGACUAGUCGACUCGGAUCGUGUAACACUUAGAUGACUAAAGGGAUGUCUAAUCUAAGUGGGAGUUCAUAAUUUGAUUAGAACUUUAUUAUCAUGAACUUAGUCUAAAAUCUUUGCAAAUAUGUCUUGUAGAUCAAUGGCCAACGCUAAUGUCAACAUGAACUUCAACGCGUUCCUAGAGAAAACCAAGCUGAAAGAUGAUGGCAGCAACUAUACGGACUGGGUCCGGAACCUGAGGAUCAUCCUCAUAGCUGCUAGGAAACAAUAUGUCCUAGAAGGACCGCUAGGUGACGCUCCCGUCCCAGAGAACCAAGACAUUAUGAAUGCUUGGCAAACUCGCGCUGAUGAUUACUCCCUCGUUCAGUGCGGCAUGCUUUACAGCUUAGAACCGGGGCUCCAAAAGUGUUUUGAGCAUCACGGAGCAUAUGAGAUGUUCGAAGAGCUGAAACUAGUUUUCCAAGCUCAUGCCCGGGUCGAGAGAUAUGAUGUCUCCGACAAGUUCUACAGUUGUAAGAUGGAGGAGAACAGUUCUGUCAGUGAGCACAUCCUAAAGAUGUCUGGGUUGCACAACCGUAUGACCCAGCUGAACAUUAACCUCCCAGAUGAGGCGGUCAUUGACAGAAUCCUCCAGUCGCUCCCACCAAGCUACAAGAGCUUUGUGAUGAACUACAACAUGCAGGGAAUGGAAAAGACCAUUCCUGAAGUGUUCUCGAUGCUGAAGUCAGCAGAGGCUGAAAUCAAGAAAGAACAUCAAGUGUUGAUGGUCAAUAAGACCACUAAGUUCAAGAAGGGCAAGGGUAAGAAGAACUUCAAGAAGGACGGCAAAGAUGUUGCCGCGCCUGGUAAGCCAGUUACCGGGAAGAAGUCAAAGAAUGGACCCAAGCCUGAGACUGAGUGCUUUUAUUGCAAGGGGAAGGGUCACUGGAAGCGGAACUGCCCCAAAUACUUAGCGGAUAAGAAGGCCGGCAACACCAAAGGUAUAUUUGAUAUACAUGUGAUUGAUAUGUACCUUACCAGUACUCGUAGUAACUCCUGGGUAUUUGAUACCGGUGCCGUUGCUCAUAUUUGUAACUCACAGCAGGAGCUGCGGAAUAAACGGAGACUGGCGAAGGACGAGGUGACGAUGCGCGUCGGGAAUGGUUCCAGAGUCGAUGUGAUCGCCGUCGGCACGCUGCCUCUACAUUUACCUACGGGAUUAGUUUUGAACCUUAAUAAUUGUUAUUUAGUGCCAAGUUUGAGCAUGAACAUUGUAUCUGGAUCUCGUUUAAUACGAGAUGGCUACUCAUUUAAGUCUGAGAAUAAUGGUUGUUCGAUUUAUAUGAGAGAUAUGUUUUAUGGUCAUGCUCCGAUGGUCAAUGGUUUAUUCUUAAUGAAUCUCGAGCGUAAUAUUACACAUGUUCAUACUGUAGAUGCCAAAAGAUGUAAAGUUGAUAACGAUAGUCCCACAUACUUGUGGCACUGCCGCCUUGGUCACAUUGGUGUCAAGCGCAUGAAGAAGCUCCAUGCCGAUGGACUUUUAGAGUCUCUUGAUUAUGAAUCAUUUGACACGUGCGAACCAUGCCUCUUAGGCAAAAUGACCAAGACUCCGUUCUCCGGAACAAUGGAGCGAGCAACCAACUUGUUGGAAAUCAUACAUACCGAUGUGUGCGGUCCAAUGAGCGUUGAGGCUUGGGAGGAUAUCGUUAUGUUCUCACCCUCACAGAUGACUUGAGUAGAUAUGGGUAUGUCUACUUAAUGAAACACAAGUCUGAGACCUUUGAAAAGUUUAAGGAAUUUCAGAAUGAGGUGGAGAAUCAACGUGACCGAAAGAUAAAAUUCUUACGAUCAGAUCGUGGAGGAGAAUACUUAAGUCACGAAUUUGGUACACACUUAAAGAAAUGUGGAAUCGUUUCACAGCUCACGCCGCCUGGAACACCUCAGCGAAACGGUGUGUCCGAACGUCGUAAUCGCACUCUAUUGGAUAUGGUGCGGUCUAUGAUGUCUCUUACCGAUUUACCGCUAUCAUUUUGGGGAUACGCUCUAGAGACAGCUACAUUCACUUUAAAUAGGGCACCGUCUAAAUCCGUUGAGACGACACCGUAUGAAUUAUGGUUUGGAAAGAAACCUAAGUUGUCGUUUCUAAAAGUUUGGGGAUGCGAAGCUUAUGUCAAGAAACUUCAACCUGAAAAGCUCGAACCCAAGUCGGAAAAAUGCGUAUUCAUAGGAUACCCUAAGGAAACUGUAGGGUAUACCUUCUACUUAAGAUCCGAAGGCAAGAUCUUUGUUGCCAAGAACGGAUGCUUUCUGGAAAAAGAGUUUCUCUCGAAAGAAGUAAGUGGGAGGAAAGUAGAACUCGAUGAAGUACUACCUCUUGAGCGGGAUAGUGACGCAGCACAGGAAACCGUUCCUGUGAUGCCCACACCAACUGAAGAGGAAAACCAUGAUGAUGAUCAAGGUACUUCGGAUCAAGUUAGUGCUGAACCUCGUAGGUCCACAAGGACACGUUCCGCACCAGAGUGGUACGGCAACCCUGUCCUGGAAAUCAUGUUGUUAGACAACAAUGAACCUUCGAACUAUGAAGAAGCAAUGGCGGGCCCGGAUUCCAACAAAUGGCUUGAAGCCAUGAAAUCCGAGAUAGAAUCCAUGUAUGAAAACAAAGUAUGGACUUUGACAGACUUGCCCGAUGAUCGGCGAGCGAUAGAAAACAAAUGGAUCUUUAAGAAGAAGACGGACGCGGAUGGUAAUGUUACCAUCUAUAAAGCUCGACUUGUCGCUAAGGGUUAUCGACAGGUUCAAGGGAUUGACUACGACGAGACAUUCUCUCCCGUAGCGAAGCUAAAGUCCGUCCGAAUCAUGUUAGCAAUUGCCGCAUACUAUGAUUAUGAGAUAUGGCAGAUGGACGUCAAAACAGCAUUCCUUAACGGGCAUCUUAAGGAAGAACUGUAUAUGAUGCAGCCGGAAGGUUUUGUCGAUCCUCGGAACGCUAACAAAGUAUGCAAGCUCCAGCGAUCCAUUUAUGGACUGGUGCAAGCAUCUCGGAGUUGGAACAUUCGCUUUGAUGAGAUGAUCAAAGCGUUUGGGUUUAUGCAGACUUAUGGAGAAGCCUGCGUUUACAAGAAAGUGAGUGGGAGCUCUGUAGAAUUUCUCAUAUUAUAUGUAGAUGACAUACUCCUGAUGGGAAAUAAUAUAGAAUUUCUGGACAGCAUUAAGGCCUACUUGAAUAAGUGUUUUUCAAUGAAGGACCUUGGAGAAGCUGCUUAUAUAUUAGGCAUCAAGAUCUAUAGAGAUAGAUCGAGACGCCUCAUAGGUCUUUCACAAAGCACAUACCUUGAUAAGAUUUUGAAGAGAUUCAGAAUGGAUCAGUCCAAGAAGGGGUUCUUGCCUAUGUUACAAGGUAUGAGACUGAGCUCAGCUCAGUCACCGACCACGGCAAAAGAUAAAGAAGAGAUGAGUGUCAUCCCCUAUGCUUCAGCCAUAGGAUCUAUUAUGUAUGCCAUGCUGUGUACCAGACCCGAUGUAAACCUUGCCGUAAGUUUGGUAGCAAGAUACCAAAGUAAUCCCGGCAAGGAACACUCGACAGCGGUCAAGAAUAUCCUGAAGUACCUGAAAAGGACAAAGGACAUGUUUCUCGUUUAUGGAGGAGACGAAGAGCUCGUCGUAAAGGGUUACGUCGACGCUAGCUUCGACUCAGAUCUGGAUGACUCUAAGUCACAAACCGGAUACGUAUAUAUGUUGAAUGGUGGAGCAGUAAGCUGGUGCAGCUGCAAGCAGAGCGUCGUGGCGGGAUCUACGUGUGAAGCGUAGUACAUGGCAGCCUCGGAGGCAGCACAUGAAGCGAUUUGGGUGAAGGAGUUCAUCACCGACCUAGGAGUCAUACCCAAUGCGUCGGGGCCGAUCAAACUCUUCUGUGACAACACUGGAGCUAUUGCCCUCGCAAAGGAGCCCAGGUUUCACAAGAAGACCAGGCACAUCAAGCGUCGUUUCAACUCCAUCCGUGAAAAUGUUCAAGAUGGAGACAUAGAGAUUUGCAAAGUGCACACGGAUCUGAAUGUCGCAGAUCCGCUGACUAAACCUCUCUCGCGUGCAAAACAUGAUCAACACCAGAACUCUAUGGGUGUUCGAUUCAUCACAAUGUAACUAGAUUAGUGACUCUAGUGCAAGUGGGAGACUGUUGGAAAUAUGCCCUAGAGGCAAUAAUAAAAGUAUUAUUAUAUUUCAUUGUUCAUGAUAAUUGUCUUUUAUUCAUGCUAUAACUGUAUUAUCCGGAAAUCGUAAUACACGUGUGAAUACUUAGACCACACAUGUCCCUAGUAAGCCUCUAGUUGACCAGCUCGUUGUGAUCAACAGAUAGUCAUGGUUUCCUGACUAUGGACAUUGGAUGUCGUUGAUAACGAGAUCACAUCAUUAGGAGAAUGAUGUGAUGGACAAGACCCAAUCCUAAGCAUAGCAUAAAAGAUCGUGUAGUUCGUUUUGCUAGAGCUUUGCAAGUGUCAAGUAUCUCUUCCUUCGACCAUGAGAUCGUGUAACUCCCGGAUACCGUAAGAGUGCCUUGGGUGUACCAAACGUUACAACGUAACUGGGUGACUAUAAAGGUGCAUUACAGGUAUCUCCGAAAGUAGCUGUUGGGUUGACACAGAUCGAGACUGGGAUUUGUCACUCCGUAUGACGGAGAGGUAUCUCUGGGCCCACUCGGUAAUGCAUCAUCAUAUUGAGCUCAAUGUGACCAAGGUGUUGGACACGGGAUCAUGCAUUACGGUACGAGUAAAGUGACUUGCCGGUAAGGAGACUGAACAAGGUAUUGGGAUACCGACGAUCGAGUCUCGGGCAAGUAACGUACCGAUUGACAAAGGGAAUUGCAUACAGGGUUUGAUUGAAUCCUCGACAUAGUGGUUCAUCCGAUGACAACAUCGAGGAGCAUGUGGGAGCCAUCAUGGGUAUCCAGAUCCCGCUGAUGGUUAUUGACUGAGAGCGUCUCGGUCAUGUCUGCAUGUCUCCCGAACCCGUAGGGUCUACACACUUAAGGUUCGGUGACGCUAGGGUUAUGAAGAUAUGUAUAUGCAGAAACCCGAAUGUUGUUCGGAGUCCCGGAUGAGAUCCCGGACGUCACGAGGAGUUCCGGAAUGGUCCGGAGGUAAAGAAUUAUAUAUUGGAAGUGCUAUUUCGGGCAUCGGGACAAGUUUCGGGGUUAUCGGUAUUGUACCGGGACCACCGGAAGGGUCCCGGGGGUCCACCGGGUGGGGCCACCUGUCCCGGGGGGGCACAUGGGCUGUAGGGGGUGCGCCUUGGCCAUCAUGGGCCAAGGGCACCAGCCCCUAUAGGCCCAUGCGCCUAGGGUUUCCCCCUAGGAGGAGUCCUAGUGGUGGAAGGCACCCCUAGGUGCCUUGGGGGGGAGGGAAACCUCCCCUAGGCCGCCGCCCCCCCUAGUAGAUCUCAUCUACUAGGGCCGGCGCCCCCCCCCCCCUUGGCACCCCUAUAUAUAGUGGGGGGAGAGGAGGAGAACAGACCAGCCCCUGGCGCCUCCACCUUUCCCCGUUACGUCUCUCCCUCGUAGUCUCGGCGAAGCCCUGCUGCUGUGACGCCCUGCAUCCACCACCACACCGUCGUGCUGCUGGAUCUUCAUCAACCUCUCCUUCCCCCUUGCUGGAUCAAGAAGGAGGAGACGUCUCCCGUCCCGUACGUGUGUUGAACGCGGAGGUGCCGUCCGUUCGGCGCUGGUCAUCGGUGAUUUGGAUCACGUCGAGUACGACUACAUCAUCACCUUGCAAGCUUCCGCACGCGAUCUACAAGUGGUAUGUAGAUGCAAACUCUCUCCCUAGACUCGUUGCUUAGAUGAACUCAUAGAUGGAUCUUGGUGAAACCGUAGGAAAAAUUUUAAUUUUCUGCAACGUUCCCCAACAAAAACAAAACCAGCAAGACCUCCCGACGUGCUGACACCUCGAUAGGAGCCACGCGUGUCUCAUCUCAGGCUACGAUCGGAUUGGCUAAGUUUCCGGCUAGCACACCCGUUGGUGGCCCCAGCUACUGCCAGUUUGGACAAACACUCAUGAGGAGCACUGGCCCGGGUUGUUGAUUAAGAAUCCUCGGGUUAAUUACUCCCUAUGCAAAUUUUAGUUGUUAUAGGCAAAUGGUAAAACCAAAGUUGGGCCUUGCUGGAAGAGUUUUAUUCAAAGUGAACUGUCAAGGGGGGCCCAUAAACCCUGACCGUGUUAGGAACGCAAAAUUCAAGGAACAUAACACCGGUAUGACGGAAACUAAGGCGGCAAGAGUGGAACAAAACACCAAGCAAAAGGCCAAGCCUUCCACCCUCUACCGAGUAUAUAGAUGCAUUAAUUAAAUAAGAGAUAUUGUGAUAUCCCAUGAUAUGCAUGUCCCAACAUGGAACAACAUGCACUUCACCUGCAACUAGCAACGCUAUAAGAGGGGUUGAGCAAAGCGGUAACAUAGCCAGACAACGGUUUGCUAGGAAGGUGGGUUAGAGGCAUUUCAUGGCAAUGUUUUAGGAGACUGACAAAGAAGUAGAUAGGCAACAUGACAUAGUGAUAGAAUUGAGACAACUAGCAAAGAAAGGUAGUAGUGAUAUCAAGGAACGAUCAUCUUGCCUGCAAUGUUCUUAGUGGUAUCGAAUCCUGGCUCCUCAUUAACAUACUCGACAGCGUCCUCGGACUCAAACUCGUCUCCCAGAACUACCCAAAGAAAUACAGCAUACAAUAAACAACCACUCAUGGCAUGGCAAGCACAUGUUCUACAUGCGGCACUAUCAGGGAUGCAUAAGAAGAACGGUAUGCACAGAGCUAUGGUUCUACUGGAACGAAGGCGUACGAUAAUGGGAAGGUAACGAUGAAGGCAGGAAUGAUAUGGGCAAAAUCUUGGUACCCAAGCAUGCCACUGGAAAGAUUGGAAGAUUUUGGUUGAAAUCGAUAUAAAGAUCAUCAAAAACAGAUGCACUGAACUCCAAUGGUGAGCAAUAUGAUAUGCAAUGCAAAACUGUCAAAACAGCAACAUGCCAACUUGGAUGCAUCAUCUGAAUAUGCAACAGGGCUUUAACAUGAAAACAAAUGGCAUGGAGGUGAAGUACAUGACAAACACUACAAAAUAUGAUUACUGAACUAUUUCUAAAACUCACUAGAACAUCCCCAAAAUAGCAUGGCAAACUAACAAAUGACAGCCGUUUUAUAAUAAGUGCUCACAAGUGCAGUAAGUUAAAUACUGCCUAAUAAGGAAAAUAGACAGAAAUGGCAACUGCCAGAUCUGGAAUGUUCAGAUUUGGAAAGUCAGCCCUUUCCAGAAAUGGAGUUUCGGGGAAAAUAUGAAAAAAAAACAAUAAAGAAAAGGAGGGGUUGUGUGCGUGUUUGUAUGACCAGUGGGUCCUUGGUGUCAUUGACACAUAGGAAAAAUAAAAAAAAGCCAACCCAAAAUUAUGUGGAGACGGGGAUUCAAACCCUGGUCUCAUGCAUGGAGGAGUAUGGUGCUGACCAGUCGACCUUCGCAAAGGUUCUUGCCCAUACAAGGGCCCGUCUCAAUUUGACCAAGCCCCAUAGUGGACUGGGGCUUCUACUGGUUGCAGGAGAUGGUGACGAUGGCGUCGGCGAGGCAGCGUGCAACGCGAGCGGCGGGAGAGCUGCAGCAGGCAUGCGAAAUUGGGAGCAUGUGCAGGUGCAAGAGCGCGGGAAGCUAGGAGAGGCCAGGCGCUCGAGCUCAAGCAUGGCUUAGCUCGGGGCAUGGCGAGGCACGGGGAUGCAGGGAGCAAGGCGGGUCCGGGAUCCGCGCGAGGCUGCAGGAAGCGCAUGGGUGGCUGCUGCGGGCGGGCGGGUAGGCGCAACAAGGAGAAUGCAGCUAGGUGGAAACCGGAGGGCGGGGACGCACGGGCGCGCUACAACAAGUGCACACACACACAAAAAAUAACUACAGACUUCGCCGGAGCACCGAUAGCAUGUGAAAGAUACGGACGAACCGACGCCUACGGCGAUCUAUUGACGGCGGGAAGGAGCAAGGAAGAAGUUGGGUAUACCUCAUAUACCUAUGACGAGAAGAUGAGGCCAGGGACCCGGCGGAGACGGCGCGAGGCAGCUCUGAACUUGGCAGGUUUUUGACCGGGAAGAAGAGGAAGAAUACAGUGUAGUGGAGCUCGAAUCCGAUGUCGUGGCACCGCGUGCGUCGUGGUAGGAGACGUAGGGGGACUUGGCGGACGCUCCCACCGCGGCAGGAUAGGCCUGAGGAGGUCGGAGAGGCUACCCCGAGCUCGAGCUCUAGCUCGGUCGGAGCAUGGCGGCAGGGCGAUGGUGUGGCUCGAGGCGGCUUACCUGAGCGGCGGUGAGGGUAAGAGGGGAGGGG
Molecule: long non-coding RNA, 12026 nt
Filed under: Triticum aestivum (bread wheat)
Lineage: Eukaryota; Viridiplantae; Streptophyta; Magnoliopsida; Poales; Poaceae
Description: long non-coding RNA (TAES_LNC022396)
Source: RNAcentral